UCUUUUCGCUAACUUGAUUGAUACUAUUUAAGGUAAGUUAUUAUUAGGUAAGUUCUAAUAAUUAGGUAAGUUCUCACCUCGGUGGAAGCGGACGUAAAACACAACUAACAAGUAGUAGUAGGUAAGUUCUUUGUUCAAUUGAUUGCAGUCAAUUAGCAGGUGAGACGUGGUCGCGAUUUGUCCUCAUGGGCAUUUAAUUGGUGUAUAGGUGAAGUCUUUUAUUACGUUUAUCGUUUUAAGCCUCGUGAUGAGUUUGCAUAUUUUGAUUGAUGGAUGAUUGGUGUAAACCUUGUCUACAUGAUUGCUAUAAAUUUGAUAGCGAUGAGUAUUCUCUUGUUUUAGACGAGUCUUCCAUGCAUUUUUAAUUUUAUCUUUGGUAUAAUAACUUAAUGAAUUAGUAAAAUACAACUAAUUCACCUGCUAAUUGACUGCAAUCAAUUGAAGAAAGAACGUCAAUCUGUAAUUAAGAAUCUAGCAGAGAGGGGAAACAUCCUCUGUCUCAAAUCACUCCUUUCUCCACAAGCCGACGAUAGACACUGGACAUCACAACUUGUCUGGGAUUUUAUUGAGAACAUAGGGAUGACCAAAUAUAUAAAAUAAUGAAUUUAAUCAAUUAACAGUAGGGUGGAGCGCAAAAAUGUCCUCUAGAAGGAAGCAUAAACCGCCCUACACAACUAAUAUAACUCCAAUAUAAUUAAUAAAUCAACUUAUAAAACCAACCAAUUAACAGUAGGAUGGAGCGCAAAAAUGUCCUCUAGAAGGAAGCGUAAACCGCCUUUACACAACUAACAUAACUCCGAUAAAAUUAAUAAAUCAACUAAUAAAACCAAUUAAUUAACAGUAGGGUGGAGCGCAAAAAUGUCCUCUAGAAGGAAGCGUAAACCUCCCUACAUUUAUAAUAAAACCAUUAAUCUACCAUUAAUAUAAUUCAUGAGUAAUUUAUUAUUCUCAUUAUUACCAUUAAUAUAAUUCAUGAGUAAUUUAUUAUUCUUAUUAUUUAUCUGCAAUUCAGUUAACAUUCUAUUUUCUUUUAUUCUCACUUACUAUUUUUUAUUAUUAGUUUAUAAUGAUUCCCCGCCCCUCCCCCCCCCCCCCCCACGAAGCCUUACUAGACAAAAAUAACCAUAAAACCACAGUAAGACCAGAUACUCUCUUUUCUCUAGCUUUCUUUUUCAGGUGCUGGAUUCUUCCUUCAGAGAACCAACAAUAAAAGGAAUGAAUAAUAGAAAUAAAGAUGUAACAACGCCACCAUACCGGACAACAUACCCAAAUGGAAGGAAGAAUGGACCAGGACUCAUACUCACCAACAAAGCCCCAAGAGGUUGUAAAUUAAUAAUCCACCAGUGCGGUAUGUGAAAAAUGUGUCUAGACAAGAUGAUGGUGAGCUUGUGACCCAGAUGGAUGAAUGAUGGAAAGACAAAUAAUAAGUGCUGUAUACAGUAUUUGGUAUAAAUCAGUCAUUGAAAGUCAUUACAGCUGAAGAUUUUAAUGACGCUCUGUACCGGUACUAACAAUGUUGAUUACAAUCAAUGGAAGGUUAAUCAAACCUAUGAAUGUGGUCGAAAAAGGUGUGGAGUUGAUUAAUAGCAACAUUGAAUGUGGGUUGAAUAUGGUGUGUUAAAGAUGCAAGAAAACCACGAAAUGUGUAAACUGUAAUGGAUUAUAGCCUGGCGCUAUCCAAAUUACAAAACACCUGCCCUUGAGUCUAUGAAUAUUUAUUUUUUAUGGCACCCACAUUUUCAUGUCGCUGCCUCUGUCCGUCCAGAUGUACCUCCGGUGAAAUUUGUUUGUGGUCACAAUUAUCCGAUUUUAAUGAAAUUUAAAUGUAUAUUUAUAUUCAAAUCAUCUGGUAUCGGAUUCAUUUUGAACUCUAACCUCAUGGAUUAUGGCCCCUUAUAUUGUGGAAAAAUUGGGUUUUUAGCAUGUGGGCCCAUCCAGAGGAUUUUGGCAUAGAAUAUUACACCUGAUUGUACGAUCCAUUGUUUUUAACUUCUGGAUCCUCUAGAAUUCUCAGUUUUAUAUGCCAAAAUUUCCCAUGCCUGAAUUAACCCCUCUUUGCUGAAGAUUUGGCUUUCGAGUUCAGAGUUAUGCCCCAUAGCCAAAAACUUUGAAUUUGAUAGGAGUUACAGUUUUUAACCGAUCCUUUUCAGAUUUGGUGUGAAGCAUUGGAUUCAUGAGAUCACAAACCCCAACGAUAUGCAGCGAUUCGAAGAUAACCUUUUCAAAAAAGCUUGUGAAUGUGAUGAGGCUACAAUGUUUUAAUUUGCCGUGUAGCAUUGAGACCAUGAGAGGACAAAUCCAAUAAAUUUCAGCAAUCCACACUUAACCCACUUUUUUGGAAAUCAUGUGAAUGUGAUAAGGCUACAAUUUUUUAAACAGAUUUUUUUCUAAUUCUAUAUGAAACAUUGGGACAAUGGGUGAUUAGCCUUAUUUAUAUUCCUUAUUCUCUUUUGCAAUAUGUGGGUGUAUCUUAGAUGGCAACCACUUGUUAAUUGUAUCAAUUGUGUUGUAAUAUUUUGAAAACAAUAAUAAAUAAUAAAUAUCAAA
Long non-coding RNA from Patella vulgata (common limpet), 2547 nucleotides. RefSeq lists it as uncharacterized. Lineage: Eukaryota; Metazoa; Mollusca; Gastropoda; Patellidae. The record is from RefSeq and is a predicted model, not a curated record. The transcript is spliced from 4 exons.